UACGAAGGUGGCUAGCGUUGUUCGGAAUUACUGGGCGUAAAGCGCGUGUAGGCGGGCUUUUAAGUCAGGGGUGAAAUGCCAAGGCUCAACCUUGGAACUGCCUUUGAUACUGGAAGUCUUGAGUCCGGGAGAGGUGAGUGGAACUGCGAGUGUAGAGGUGAAAUUCGUAGAUAUUCGCAAGAACACCAGUGGCGAAGGCGGCUCACUGGCCCGGAACUGACGCUGAGACGCGAAAGCGUGGGGAGCAAACAGG
RNAcentral lists this ribosomal RNA (253 nucleotides) under uncultured bacterium. RNAcentral's name for it is "partial 16S ribosomal RNA". It matches the Rfam family "Bacterial small subunit ribosomal RNA", at positions 524 to 776 of the family's 1533-position model. The record is from RNAcentral.